This 218-nucleotide ribosomal RNA is filed under the name uncultured Lactobacillus sp. RNAcentral describes it as "partial 16S ribosomal RNA". It matches the Rfam family "Bacterial small subunit ribosomal RNA", at positions 144 to 354 of the family's 1533-position model. The record is from RNAcentral. Lineage: Bacteria; Bacillati; Bacillota; Bacilli; Lactobacillales; Lactobacillaceae.
UAACACCUGGAAACAGAUGCUAAUACCGGAUAACAACAGAUGAUGCCUAUCAACUGUUUAAAAGAUGGUUCUGCUAUCACUCUUGGAUGGACCUGCGGUGCAUUAGCUAGUUGGUAGGGUAACGGCCUACCAAGGCGAUGAUGCAUAGCCGAGUUGAGAGACUGAUCGGCCACAUUGGGACUGAGACACGGCCCAAACUCCUACGGGAGGCAGCAGAC